RNAcentral lists this long non-coding RNA (269 nucleotides) under Lathyrus oleraceus (garden pea). RNAcentral describes it as "Pisum sativum (pea) long non-coding RNA (PSAT_LNC019366)". The record is from RNAcentral. Lineage: Eukaryota; Viridiplantae; Streptophyta; Magnoliopsida; Fabales; Fabaceae.
AAAAACAAACAAAAAAGAGGAGGGUGCAAAAUAAGAAAAAAGAAACCCAAAUCAAAAGAAAGAAAAAGAAAGAAAGAAACAAAAGAAAAAAUAGCACCCUCAAAGUCCCAAGUUGACUGAUGCUGAAUGGAUUCAGAGUCACUACGACAAGGUGAAUCCAAUCGAAAAGAAGAGAUCAACUGCCAUGUAGCAUGGUCGGUUACAUCAGCAGAGAGUGAAAAAGCAUUCGACAAGAAGGUCAAGCCUCGUGUGUUCCGAGGGACCUUGUG